CAUGACGUCAACUAAGUAUAAGUACCGCCCUCCUCCUUCGUCACAUCCUCUUUCCGUUGCUCUUCUCGCUUUGAGAAACCUCUCCACACGAUGAGAGCCAAGUGGAGGAAGAAGCGUAUGCGCAGGCUGAAGCGUAAAAGGAGAAAGAUGAGGCAGAGGUCAAAGUAAGCCCUCAUCGCCGCCAGCUGUGAUCCUGUCGGAGCCUUUCCAGAUGACUGACGCGUGUGGCUGAAGUGGACUGUGUGGCAUCGGCGAAACAAGGGCCCAAAUCCUGUUUUCAGAUGACGGCGUGUCUCAUGGAGCCAGCUGUGGAUGUCUGACUGGAAGACGGCGAAGACGCUGGACAGAUCUCUGACCAUCAGAACCACGGCUGUCCUGUUCAUGGACCAUAAUACAUGUUAACCAACAACUGUCAAGUGGUGUACUGAACAAUAAAUCAACACUGUUAAAAGUUUAACAUAA
Molecule: long non-coding RNA, 462 nt
Organism: Lates calcarifer (barramundi perch)
Lineage: Eukaryota; Metazoa; Chordata; Actinopteri; Centropomidae
Exons: 4
Source: RefSeq, a predicted model, not a curated record